UAUUAUACCCGAGCAUGGGCAGUCAGGCCCGGCCGGUCCGACCCGACCCUGUCCAAAAAUCUCUGGCCGGGUCAGGUCUAUUUGUGCCAUCGGACCGGGCUCGGGUCGAAAAGUUGAGCCCGAUGGUGAGGUCUGGCCGGGCUCAGGCCUAUUAAAAACAAAAUUAAGCCGCGGUUGGGUUGAGCCGGUCGGGGACAAAUGGGCUUUUUGGAUCUCCGGCCGGGAUUGGGCCCUUCAGACGAUCGGGCCGGACCGGGCUUGGGCCUAGGUUUCAGCACCGUCUUUUUUGGCCGAGGCCGAACAAUGGCCACGUAGUGCUAAGGACAACUCCAAGGCUUCAAAUAUUCCAUCUUCGUCCAACGCGCGCAAGCAUACAGAUCAAUGUCCGUUUUUGGCUCAUUGUUGAUUCAUUUUCGAUCCAACUUUGUAUUGCGUUUGCGAUCAAACGAACAAGCGCGGAUGGGUGCAACGCAUGCCGUUAUACUCCUGUGGCCCGUCUGUUGGAGACACAUGCGACCCUUUUUCUAUUUCCCUUCCCUCACUCCAGCCGCAUCCCCGGCCACACCCCUAUCGUCCCUAGCAGCCACCGUCGCCAUUUUUCUCGGUCGUGUCCUUGUCCAGCUCAGCCACGCGCGCCCCGUGAUACGUCUCUAAUG
This 656-nucleotide long non-coding RNA is filed under the name Hordeum vulgare. Its description in RNAcentral is "long non-coding RNA (HVUL_LNC008220)". Lineage: Eukaryota; Viridiplantae; Streptophyta; Magnoliopsida; Poales; Poaceae. The record is from RNAcentral.